Non-coding RNA from Arachis ipaensis, 659 nucleotides. Lineage: Eukaryota; Viridiplantae; Streptophyta; Magnoliopsida; Fabales; Fabaceae. The record is from RefSeq and is a predicted model, not a curated record.
GUUAGAUGAAAAAUAAUCUUAUAUUCAUAAUACAAAAGAGUACAGCAUGCUUCCCCUGAUGAUUGUACAAACUGGAAAAAGAUCCUUUUUUCAUUAGUCUCUAUCCAUUGAUUGAGCAUGAGAGAAAUGGUGACCACCACCAUCUGCAUGAUUAAUAAUAACAUCAAGGUUGGUUAAAAAUAAGUGAUAUUAGAACUGAUCACUCAGUUUAUUAUGAAAGGAAAAUCAUGAACCUAUUUUUAGCAAAAAAUAUGCUCAUUUACAUUUCAAACCCACAAAAUCUAUGGCCACACCAACAUUGCUGAAGUUAGUGGAAAGUGAUUUUCCACCAUUGAUAAUAAAAGCAAGUUUAGCAAUGUGAGUCAUUUUAUUUUCAUUACCUAUCUUCAUUUCAAUAUUAUUUAUUGUUAAAAUUUUGUAAAGAAAAAAAUGAAAAGAAAUAAAAGAAGAGAAAAGAAAACGAGAUUUCAAUCUUUUCACCUUUUUAUUUGUAAAAUUUUGAAAACAGAAAACAGUCAAAACACUGAAAAAUUAAACCGGAAAUUAAAUAUAAUUCCACUCCCCUUUACUUAUUUCACCUGUCCAAGUCAACAUGUAGAAGCUAACAAGUAAAAUCAUUAACAGUUCAGAUAAAACCAUACUAAGCAAACAUUUCUAUU